UACGUAGGGCGCAAGCGUUGUCCGGAAUUAUUGGGCGUAAAGAGCUCGUAGGCGGUCCGUCACGUCGGCUGUGAAAACCCGAGGCUCAACCUCGGGCCUGCAGUCGAUACGGGCAGACUAGAGUUCGGUAGGGGAGACUGGAAUUCCUGGUGUAGCGGUGAAAUGCGCAGAUAUCAGGAGGAACACCGGUGGCGAAGGCGGGUCUCUGGGCCGAAACUGACGCUGAGGAGCGAAAGCGUGGGGAGCAAACAGGAUUAGAUACCCUGGUAGUCC
Molecule: ribosomal RNA, 273 nt
Filed under: uncultured Frankiales bacterium
Lineage: Bacteria; Bacillati; Actinomycetota; Actinomycetes; Frankiales
Description: partial 16S ribosomal RNA
Rfam family: Bacterial small subunit ribosomal RNA
Source: RNAcentral